GACGAACGCUGGCGGCGUGCUUAACACAUGCAAGUCGAACGGAGCGCCAUGGAAUGAGGUUUCGGCCAAAGGAAAUGGUUGCUUAGUGGCGGACUGGUGAGUAACGCGUGAGGAACCUGCCUUUCAGAGGGGGACAACAGUUGGAAACGACUGCUAAUACCGCAUGACGCAUGACGGGGGCAUCCCUGACAUGCCAAAGAUUUAUCGCUGAAAGAUGGCCUCGCGUCCGAUUAGAUAGUUGGCGGGGUAACGGCCCACCAAGUCGACGAUCGGUAGCCGGACUGAGAGGUUGGCCGGCCACAUUGGGACUGAGACACGGCCCAAACUCCUACGGGAGGCAGCAGUGGGGAAUAUUGCACAAUGGAGGAAACUCUGAUGCAGCGACGCCGCGUGGAGGAAGAAGGUCUUCGGAUUGUAAACUCCUGUUGUUGAGGAAGAUAAUGACGGUACUCAACAAGGAAGU
This 463-nucleotide ribosomal RNA is filed under the name uncultured bacterium. RNAcentral describes it as "bacterial SSU rRNA". It matches the Rfam family "Bacterial small subunit ribosomal RNA", at positions 28 to 491 of the family's 1533-position model. The record is from RNAcentral.